This is a long non-coding RNA of Oreochromis aureus, 446 nucleotides long. RefSeq lists it as uncharacterized. NCBI's taxonomy places the organism in Eukaryota, Metazoa, Chordata, Actinopteri, Cichliformes, Cichlidae. The transcript is spliced from 3 exons. The record is from RefSeq and is a predicted model, not a curated record.
UGCCCAUCGCUGUCAGCUGCACAACAUUAUCACAUGAAAGAGGUUAACAGUCUGGCAACGGGUAUUGGUGAGCGCUGGGUUCAAGUACUCCCAGUGAUUGCAAAAUGGAGAACAGGUGCACCUACUUGAGCCUCCCUGGGCCACACCCGCUCCUGAAAAACAGUAGUUAGUUUUUCACACCCUUUCACACAAACAGAGGAGAGGCAGACAGAAUUCAGGCCAGCACCUGGAAUACAGUCAUAUUGUGGGAGACCUGGAAGACUUUCAACACAGACACUUCUCCACAAAAAGCUGUCUUCCUUUCUUGCAAUGCGUGGAGUGAUGCUGAAGGCUUGUUUACAGACACCCCAUGGGAUGGAGGGCAUGAUGUGAAUUAGGAGGUGGCUGAGGUGUUAGAAGGACUAAGGAAAAUCAUGCUACAAUGUGACUGCACUGUAGUUGAAAGC